UACACUCCUGCGGGAGGCAGCAGUGGGGAAUAUUGGACAAUGGGCGCAAGCCUGAUCCAGCCAUGCCGCGUGAGUGAUGAAGGCCCUAGGGUUGUAAAGCUCUUUCACCGGUGAAGAUAAUGACGGUAACCGGAGAAUAAGCCCCGGCUAACUUCGUGCCAGCAGCCGCGGUAAUACGAAGGGGGCUAGCGUUGUUCGGAUUUACUGGGCGUAAAGCGCACGUAGGCGGACUAUUAAGUCAGGGGUGAAAUCCCGGGGCUCAACCCCGGAACUGCCUUUGAUACUGGUAGUCUUGAGUUCGAGAGAGGUGAGUGGAAUUCCGAGUGUAGAGGUGAAAUUCGUAGAUAUUCGGAGGAACACCAGUGGCGAAGGCGGCUCACUGGCUCGAUACUGACGCUGAGGUGCGAAAGCGUGGGGAGCAAACAGGAUUAGAUACCCUAGUAGUCCC
RNAcentral lists this ribosomal RNA (448 nucleotides) under uncultured organism. Its description in RNAcentral is "partial 16S ribosomal RNA". It matches the Rfam family "Bacterial small subunit ribosomal RNA", at positions 332 to 797 of the family's 1533-position model. The record is from RNAcentral.